This 254-nucleotide ribosomal RNA is filed under the name uncultured bacterium. RNAcentral's name for it is "partial 16S ribosomal RNA". It matches the Rfam family "Bacterial small subunit ribosomal RNA", at positions 524 to 774 of the family's 1533-position model. The record is from RNAcentral.
UACGUAGGGGGGCAAGCGUUGUCCGGAUUUAUUGGGCGUAAAGAGCUCGUAGGCGGUUUGGUAAGUCUGGUGUGAAAUCUCCACGCUCAACGUGGAGGGGCCACCCGAUACUGCCAUGACUGGAGUCCGGUAGAGGAGUGUGGAAUUCCCGGUGUAGCGGUGAAAUGCGCAGAUAUCGGGAGGAACACCCGUAGCGAAGGCGGCACUCUGGGCCGGAACUGACGCUGAGGAGCGAAAAGCGUGGGGAGCAAACA